This 467-nucleotide ribosomal RNA is filed under the name uncultured bacterium. RNAcentral describes it as "partial 16S ribosomal RNA". It matches the Rfam family "Bacterial small subunit ribosomal RNA", at positions 28 to 507 of the family's 1533-position model. The record is from RNAcentral.
GACGAACGCUGGCGGCGUGCUUAACACAUGCAAGUCGAACGGAAAGGCCUCUUUCGGGGGGUACUCGAGUGGCGAACGGGUGAGUAACACGUGAGUAACCUGCCCUUGACUUUGGGAUAACUUCAGGCAACUGGGGCUAAUACCGGAUAGGAGAUCCUGCUGCAUGGUGGGGGUUGGAAAGUUUCGGCGGUUGGGGGUGGCCUCGAGGCUUAUCAGCGUGUUGGUGGGGUAGUGGCUUACCAAGGCGUUGACGGGUAGCCGGCCAGAGAGGGUGACCGGCCACAUUGGGACUGAGAUACGGCCCAGACGCCUACGGGAGGCAGCAGUGGGGAAUAGUGCACAAGGGGUGGAAGCCUGAUGCAGCAACGCCGUGUGCGGGAGGACGGCCUUCGGGUUGAAAACCGCUUUCGCUCAUGACGAAGCUUUGUGUGACGGUAGUGGGUAAAGAAGCACCGGCUAACUACGUG